Molecule: ribosomal RNA, 261 nt
Filed under: uncultured prokaryote
Description: partial 16S ribosomal RNA
Rfam family: Bacterial small subunit ribosomal RNA
Source: RNAcentral
UACGUAGGUGGCGAGCGUUAUCCGGAAUUAUUGGGCGUAAAGAGCGCGCAGGUAGUUGAUUAAGUCUGAUGUGAAAGCCCACGGCUUAACCGUGGAGGGUCAUUGGAAACUGGUCGACUUGAGUGCAGAAGAGGGAAGUGGAAUUCCAUGUGUAGCGGUGAAAUGCGUAGAGAUAUGGAGGAACACCAGUGGCGAAGGCGGCUUCCUGGUCUGUAACUGACACUGAGGCGCGAAAGCGUGGGGAGCAAGCAGGAUUAGAUA